GACGUAGGGCGCGAGCGUUGUCCGGAUUUACUGGGCGUAAAGGGCGUGCAGGCGGUUUGUUAAGUUCAGGGUGAAAGCUCCCGGCUCAACUGGGAGAGGUCCUUGGAUACUGGCAGACUCGAGGAGGGUAGAGGAGAGUGGAAUUCCCGGUGUAGUGGUGAUAUGCGUAGAUAUCGGGAGGAACACCAGUGGCGAAGGCGGCUCUCUGGGCCCUACCUGACGCUGAGACGCGAAAGCGUGGGGAGCGAACCGG
Molecule: ribosomal RNA, 253 nt
Filed under: uncultured bacterium
Lineage: Bacteria
Description: partial 16S ribosomal RNA
Rfam family: Bacterial small subunit ribosomal RNA
Source: RNAcentral